AGAGUUUGAUCCUGGCUCAGGAUGAACGCUGGCGGCGUGCCUAAUACAUGCAAGUCGAGCGAACAGACGAGGAGCUUGCUCCUUUGACGUUAGCGGCGGACGGGUGAGUAACACGUAGGUAACCUACCUAUAAGACUGGGAUAACUUCGGGAAACCGGAGCUAAUACCGGAUAAUAUUUCGAACCGCAUGGUUCGAUAGUGAAAGAUGGCUUUGCUAUCACUUAUAGAUGGACCUGCGCCGUAUUAGCUAGUUGGUAAGGUAACGGCUUACCAAGGCAACGAUACGUAGCCGACCUGAGAGGGUGAUCGGCCACACUGGAACUGAGACACGGUCCAGACUCCUACGGGAGGCAGCAGUAGGGAAUCUUCCGCAAUGGGCGAAAGCCUGACGGAGCAACGCCGCGUGAGUGAUGAAGGUCUUCGGAUCGUAAAACUCUGUUAUUAGGGAAGAACAAACGUGUAAGUAACUGUGCACGUCUUGACGGUACCUAAUCAGAAAGCCACGGCUAACUACGUCCAGCAGCCGCGGUAAU
RNAcentral lists this ribosomal RNA (533 nucleotides) under Staphylococcus sp. IV0_G. RNAcentral describes it as "bacterial SSU rRNA". It matches the Rfam family "Bacterial small subunit ribosomal RNA", at positions 8 to 524 of the family's 1533-position model. Lineage: Bacteria; Bacillati; Bacillota; Bacilli; Caryophanales; Staphylococcaceae. The record is from RNAcentral.